Molecule: ribosomal RNA, 303 nt
Filed under: uncultured bacterium
Lineage: Bacteria
Description: partial 16S ribosomal RNA
Rfam family: Bacterial small subunit ribosomal RNA
Source: RNAcentral
AGCAGUCGCCGCGGUAAUACGAAGGGUGCAAGCGUUAAUCGGAAUUACUGGGCGUAAAGCGUGCGUAGGCGGUUUGUUAAGUCUGCUGUGAAAUCCCCGGGCUCAACCUGGGAAUGGCAGUGGAUACUGGCAAGCUAGAGUGUGUCAGAGGAUGGUGGAAUUCCCGGUGUAGCGGUGAAAUGCGUAGAGAUCGGGAGGAACAUCAGUGGCGAAGGCGACUAUCUGGGCCAACACUGACACUGAGGCACGAAAGCGUGGGGAGCAAACAGGAUUAGAGACCCCGGUAGUCCCUGUCUCUUAUAC